GAUGUUUACCACACCCACCGCGUUUUCACAAAAUUACACUAUUCACCUGGUACUUAAGUCUUGUUAGAGACUUAAAGGUUUUGCAUGGGUUCCAAAUACUGGUUUAUGGUACAGUUUUUGGAACUACUUGUGGGACUACAUUUUGGUGUGGUGUUGUGGGGUAGUGGAGUUAGUUUGACAUGAAGUUUUGCAUUGGACAGAUCUGCUGUGAAGCAUUCUUUGUUAAAAUGAAUCCAUGGUUGGAAUACCUGCUUUUCACUUGAGCUUUUUGUUCCUUAAUCCUUCUGUGCCCUUUUUUUUUUUUUUUUUCUUUUCUUUUUUUAUUUUUGGACGAUGAGUGCCAGUUCUCCGGCACAUUCACUGGGCCCAACAGUGAAAUUGAAAAGUUGGGAAAUGCCUCAACGCCACAUACAAUAAUUGACAAUUAGUCUAAUUUUACUAUUUCUGCUUUUAGAUCCCCAAGAAGGAGAAGCUUUUCGCGAAGCCGGAGCAGGUAAAUGUUUUGGUGCCCUGUUCUUAGAAAUGGAAGCUUAACUCUCUGGCUAGUAAUUACAGUGACAAGGGUACCAUACAGUCAGCACUAAGUUAGACUGAGCUAGACUUUCUUCGAGGUGAAUUUCUGAUAAACUAAUGUAUCUUCUGUUUGCUUUAGGUCUCUUUCUAGAGAUAGGAGAAGAGAAAGGUCUCUGUCUCGUGAGAGAAAUCACAAGCCGUCUCGAUCCUUCUCUAGGUCUCGUAGCCGAUCUAGGUCAAAUGAAAGGAAAUAGAAGACCAGUUGGCAAAAGUGGUGUACAG
RNAcentral lists this long non-coding RNA (795 nucleotides) under Rattus norvegicus (Norway rat). RNAcentral's name for it is "long non-coding RNA NONRATT017170". The record is from RNAcentral. Lineage: Eukaryota; Metazoa; Chordata; Mammalia; Rodentia; Muridae.